UACGGAGGGUGCAAGCGUUAUCCGGAUUUACUGGGUUUAAAGGGUGCGUAGGUGGGUCUGUAAGUCAGUGGUGAAAUCUCCGAGCUUAACUCGGAAACUGCCAUUGAUACUAUAGAUCUUGAAUUAUCUGGAGGUGAGCGGAAUAUGUCAUGUAGCGGUGAAAUGCUUAGAUAUGACAUAGAACACCAAUUGCGAAGGCAGCUCACUACGGAUACAUUGACACUGAGGCACGAAAGCGUGGGGAUCAAACAGG
RNAcentral lists this ribosomal RNA (253 nucleotides) under uncultured bacterium. RNAcentral describes it as "partial 16S ribosomal RNA". It matches the Rfam family "Bacterial small subunit ribosomal RNA", at positions 524 to 776 of the family's 1533-position model. The record is from RNAcentral.